This 120-nucleotide ribosomal RNA is filed under the name uncultured bacterium. RNAcentral describes it as "partial 16S ribosomal RNA". It matches the Rfam family "Bacterial small subunit ribosomal RNA", at positions 796 to 914 of the family's 1533-position model. The record is from RNAcentral.
CACGCCCUAAACGAUGUCAACUAGGUGUUGGGUGGGUAAAACCAUUUAGUACCGGAGCUAACGCGUGAAGUUGACCGCCUGGGGAGUACGGCCGCAAGGUUAAAACUCAAAGGAAUUGAC